This 335-nucleotide unclassified non-coding RNA is filed under the name soil metagenome. RNAcentral describes it as "partial contains 5.8S ribosomal RNA, internal transcribed spacer 2, and large subunit ribosomal RNA". The stretch from base 1 to 120 matches the Rfam family "5.8S ribosomal RNA", at positions 35 to 154 of the family's 154-position model. The record is from RNAcentral.
GAUGAAGAACGUAGCGAAAUGCGAUAAGUAAUGCGAAUUGCAGAAUUCAGUGAAUCAUCGAAUCUUUGAACGCACAUUGCGCCCGCCAGUAUUCUGGCGGGCAUGCCUGUUCGAGCGUCAUUUCAACCAUCAAGCCCCCGGCUUGUGUUGGGGACCUGCGGCUGCCGCAGGCCCUGAAAAGCAGUGGCGGGCUCGCUGUCACACCGAGCGUAGUAGCAUACAUCUCGCUCUGGGCGUGCUGCGGGUUCCGGCCGUUAAACCACCUUCAUAACCCAAGGUUGACCUCGGAUCAGGUAGGAAGACCCGCUGAACUUAAGCAUAUCAAUAAGCGAGGA